GACGAACGCUGGCGGCGUGCUUAACACAUGCAAGUCGAACGGAAAGGCCCUGCUUUUGUGGGGUGCUCGAGUGGCGCACGGGUGAGUAACACGUGAGUAACCUGCCCUUGACUUUGGGAUAACUUCAGGAAACUGGGGCUAAUACCGGAUAGGAGCUCCUGCUGCAUGGUGGGGGUUGGAAAGUUUAGGCGGAUGGGGAUGGACUCGCGGCUUAUCAGCUUGUUGGGUGGGUAGUGGCUUACCAAGGCAUUGACGGGUAGCCGGCCUGAGAGGGUGGCCGGCCACAUGGGGACUGAGAGACGGCCCAGACGCCUACGGUAGGCAGCAGUGGGGAGUAUUGCACAAUGGGCGGAAGCCUGAGGCAGCAACGCCGCGUGCGGGAUGACGGCCUUCGGGUUGUAAACCGCUUUCGCCUGUGACGAAGCGUGAGUGACGGUAAUGGGUAAAGAAGCACCGGCUAACUACGUG
This 468-nucleotide ribosomal RNA is filed under the name uncultured bacterium. Its description in RNAcentral is "partial 16S ribosomal RNA". It matches the Rfam family "Bacterial small subunit ribosomal RNA", at positions 28 to 507 of the family's 1533-position model. The record is from RNAcentral.